RNAcentral lists this ribosomal RNA (606 nucleotides) under Prorocentrum minimum. RNAcentral describes it as "partial Bacterial small subunit ribosomal RNA". It matches the Rfam family "Bacterial small subunit ribosomal RNA", at positions 89 to 710 of the family's 1533-position model. The record is from RNAcentral. Lineage: Eukaryota; Dinophyceae; Prorocentrales; Prorocentraceae.
UGACGAGUGGCGGACGGGUGAGUAAUGCUUGGGAAUCUGGCUUAUGGAGGGGGAUAACUACGGGAAACUGUAGCUAAUACCGCGUAAUAUCGAGAGAUUAAAGGGUGGGACCGCAAGGCCACCUGCCAUGAGAUGAGCCCAAGUGGGAUUAGGUAGUUGGUGAGGUAAAGGCUCACCAAGCCGACGAUCUCUAGCUGGUCUGAGAGGAUGACCAGCCACACUGGAACUGAGACACGGUCCAGACUCCUACGGGAGGCAGCAGUGGGGAAUAUUGCACAAUGGGCGGAAGCCUGAUGCAGCAACGCCGCGUGCGGGAUGACGGCCUUCGGGUUGUAAACCGCUUUCGCCUGUGACGAAGCGUGAGUGACGGUAAUGGGUAAAGAAGCACCGGCUAACUACGUGCCAGCAGCCGCGGUGAUACGUAGGGUGCGAGCGUUGUCCGGAAUUACUGGGCGUAAAGAGCUCGUAGGUGGUUUGUUGCGUCGUCUGUGAAAUUCCGGGGCUUAACUUCGGGGUGGCAGGCGAUACGGGCAUAACUAGAGUGCUGUAGGGGAGACUGGAAUUCCUGGUGUAGCGGUGGAAUGCGCAGAUAUCAGGAGGAACACC